This 501-nucleotide ribosomal RNA is filed under the name uncultured bacterium. RNAcentral's name for it is "partial 16S ribosomal RNA". It matches the Rfam family "Bacterial small subunit ribosomal RNA", at positions 29 to 523 of the family's 1533-position model. The record is from RNAcentral.
AUUGAACGCUGGCGGCAUGCCUUACACAUGCAAGUCGAACGGCAGCACGGGUGCUUGCACCUGGUGGCGAGUGGCGGACGGGUGAGUAAUACAUCGGAACGUACCUUAGCGUGGGGGAUAACGCAGCGAAAGCUGUGCUAAUACAGCAUACGCCCUGAGGGGUAAAGCGGGGGCUCGCAAGACCUCGCGCGAUUAGAGCGGCUGAUGCCGGAUUAUCUUGUGGGUGGGGUAAGAGCCCACCAAGGCGACGAUCAGUAGCUGGUCUGAGAGGACGAUAAGCCACACUGGGACUGAGACACGGCCCAGACUCCUACGGGAGGCAGCAGUGGGGAAUUUUGGACAAUGGGGGCAACCCUGAUCCAGCAAUGCCGCGUGAGUGAAGAAGGCCUUCGGGUUGUAAAGCUCUUUUGUCAGGGAAGAAACACCGGCUCUAACACAGUCCGGGAAUGACGGUACCUGAAGAAUAAGCACCGGCUAACUACGUGCCAGCAGCCGCAGUAA